Molecule: ribosomal RNA, 412 nt
Filed under: bacterium enrichment culture clone ALO1_GLFRUDD03HIE7G
Lineage: Bacteria
Description: bacterial SSU rRNA
Rfam family: Bacterial small subunit ribosomal RNA
Source: RNAcentral
GAGUUUGAUCAUGGCUCAGAUUGAACGCUGGCGGCAUGCCUUACACAUGCAAGUCGAACGGCAGCACGGGAGCUUGCUCCUGGUGGCGAGUGGCGAACGGGUGAGUAAUGCAUCGGAACGUAUCCUGGAGUGGGGGAUAACGUAGCGAAAGUUACGCUAAUACCGCAUAUUCUGUGAGCAGGAAAGCGGGGGACCUUCGGGCCUCGCGCUCUUGGAGCGGCCGAUGUCGGAUUAGCUAGUUGGUGAGGUAAAGGCUCGCCAAGGCGACGAUCCGUAGCAGGUCUGAGAGGAUGAUCUGCCACACUGGAACUGAGACACGGUCCAGACUCCUACGGGAGGCAGCAGUGGGAAUUUUGGACAAUGGGGGCAACCCUGAUCCAGCCAUGCCGCGUGAGUGAAGAAGGCCUCGGUU